GCUAAAGGUUUUUUUUUUUCUCCGGUGUCAAUCUUGCCCUUCACUCUGGGACAAGCCCUGGAAACGGGGUCUAAUACCGGAUAACACUCUGUCCUGCAUGGGACGGGGUUGAAAGCUCCGGCGGUGAAGGAUGAGCCCGCGGCCUAUCAGCUUGUUGGUGGGGUAAUGGCCUACCAAGGCGACGACGGGUAGCCGGCCUGAGAGGGCGACCGGCCACACUGGGACUGAGACACGGCCCAGACUCCUACGGGAGGCAGCAGUGGGGAAUAUUGCACAAUGGGCGAAAGCCUGAUGCAGCGACGCCGCGUGAGGGAUGACGGCCUUCGGGUUGUAAACCUCUUUCAGCAGGGAAGAAGCGAAAGUGACGGUACCUGCAGAAGAAGCGCCGGCUAACUACGUGCCAGCAGCCGCGGUAAUACGUAGGGCGCAAGCGUUGUCCGGAAUUAUUGGGCGUAAAGAGCUCGUAGGCGGCUUGUCACGUCGGAUGUGAAAGCCCGGGGCUUAACCCCGGGUCUGCAUUCAAUACGGGCUACUAGAGUGUGGUAGGGGAGAUCGGAAUUCCUGGUGUAGCGGUGAAAUGCGCAAAUAUCAGGAGGAACACCGGUGGCAAAGGCGGAUCUCUGGGCCAUUACUGACGCUGAGGAGCGAAAGCGUGGGGAGCGAACAGGAUUAGAUACCCUGGUAGUCCACGCCGUAAACGUUGGGAACUAGGUGUUGGCGACAUUCCACGUUCGUCGGUGCCGCAUCUAACGCAUUAAGUUUCCCCCCUGGGGAGUACCGCCGCAAGGCU
RNAcentral lists this ribosomal RNA (790 nucleotides) under Streptomyces sp. VC-YC6639. Its description in RNAcentral is "bacterial SSU rRNA". It matches the Rfam family "Bacterial small subunit ribosomal RNA", at positions 98 to 895 of the family's 1533-position model. The record is from RNAcentral. Lineage: Bacteria; Bacillati; Actinomycetota; Actinomycetes; Kitasatosporales; Streptomycetaceae.